This 557-nucleotide long non-coding RNA is filed under the name Pan troglodytes (chimpanzee). Its description in RNAcentral is "lincRNA". The record is from RNAcentral. Lineage: Eukaryota; Metazoa; Chordata; Mammalia; Primates; Hominidae.
GUGUCAGGGGCAGCUGCUGGAAGGAGGCGCAAGCACCACGGAGAGUCUGGGAUGCCCAGCCAAGGAGCCCUGGAAGGGUUGCCCUGGGGACUGACACUGUGGGCUCUGUGUUUUAGCCAAGUCACCCAGGCAGCUGAACAGAAGAUGGACUGGAGGGAGAAGCCUGGAUGUAGGAUCGCUCAGCAACAAAGGAGCCAGAAAAGGCAAGGUGUACGCACCGUGUGCAGCAUGGGCAAGCUGCAGGCAUGCAGGUAAGAGUGUGUGCAUGCAGGUGUGUGCACACGAGUUUGCAUGCGCUGAUGCGGAUGGCUAUGAUGCGUGGUGGUGAUAUAUACAUGCGGAUGCUUAUGGAUCUGUGCCAACCAUUAUUAAGCACAUAUGUAUACCCGUGUGUGUAUAUGCAUGCAUGUGUUUGUGUGAGUCGCAAUGUGUAUACAACUUUACACAAUAAGUGAAUUGAGUACAUGUACUUGUUUAUCCACAGAAGUGUAUGAUGACUGGACACGUAAAUAUGUGUAUUUGCGUGUGUUUAUACUUUGUGCAUAGAUGCAUGUUUG